RNAcentral lists this ribosomal RNA (463 nucleotides) under uncultured bacterium. Its description in RNAcentral is "partial 16S ribosomal RNA". It matches the Rfam family "Bacterial small subunit ribosomal RNA", at positions 29 to 507 of the family's 1533-position model. The record is from RNAcentral.
AGUGAACGCUGGCGGCGUGCCUAAUACAUGCAAGUCGAACGAUGAAGUCCUAGCUUGCUAGGAUGGAUUAGUGGCGCACGGGUGAGUAAUAUAUAGUUAAUCUGCCCUACACAGAGGAACAACAGUUGGAAACGACUGCUAAUACCUCAUACUCCUAUUUGACAUAAGUUAAAUAGGGAAAGUCUUUUCGGUGUAGGAUGAGACUAUAUCGUAUCAGCUAGUUGGUAAGGUAAUGGCUUACCAAGGCUAUGACGCGUAACUGGUCUGAGAGGAUGAUCAGUCAAUUGGGAAAUGAACCACGAACAAAACCCCUCGGGGGGCAGGAAGGAGGCAAUAUGGGGAAAGGGGGAAAACCCGAACCCACCACCGACGGGGGAAGAAGAACAUUUUGCGGAGUUAAAACUCUUUUUAUCAAAAAAAAAAAAGGCCGGUCCCUAAUAAAAAGCCCCCGACAAACCCCUGG